This 399-nucleotide ribosomal RNA is filed under the name uncultured bacterium. Its description in RNAcentral is "bacterial SSU rRNA". It matches the Rfam family "Bacterial small subunit ribosomal RNA", at positions 64 to 507 of the family's 1533-position model. The record is from RNAcentral.
UAGGGGGCGUAGCAAUACGUCACCGGCGGACGGGUGCGUAACACGUGGGAAUGUACCUCUUGGUUCGGAACAACGCAGGGAAACUUGGGCUAAUACCGGAUACGCCCUUACGGGGAAAGAUUUAUUGCCGAAGGAACGGCCCGCGUCCGAUUAGCUUGUUGGUGAGGUAACGGCUCACCAAGGCGACGAUCGGUAGCUGGUCUGAGAGGAUGACCAGCCUCACUGGGACUGAGACACGGCCCAGACUCCUACGGGAGGCAGCAGUGGGGAAUAUUGGACAAUGGGCGCAAGCCUGAUCCAGCCAUGCCGCGUGAGUGAUGAAGGCCCUAGGGUUGUAAAGCUCUUUCAGCGGGGAAGAUAAUGACGGUACCCGCAGAAGAAGCCCCGGCUAACUUCGUG